CCUGCUCAGGAUGAACGCUAGCGGCAGGCUUAACACAUGCAAGUCGAGGGGCAGCGCGAGGUAGCAAUACUUGGCGGCGACCGGCGGAAGGGUGCGUAACGCGUGAGCAACAUGCCCGUAUGAGGGGGAUAGUCAUUGGAAACGAUGCGUAAUACCCCGUAACAACAGAGGCGGCAUCGCCUUUGUUUGAAAGAUUUAUCGCAUACGGAUUGGCUCGCGUGACAUUAGCUAGUUGGCGGGGUAACGGCCCACCAAGGCGACGAUGUCUAGGGGAACUGAGAGGUUGGUCCCCCACACUGGAACUGAGACACGGUCCAGACUCCUACGGGAGGCAGCAGUGAGGAAUAUUGGUCAAUGGGCGGAAGCCUGAACCAGCCAUGCCGCGUGAAGGACUUAAAGGCCCUAUGGGUCGUAAACUUCUUUUGACGGGGAGCAAUAAGGGCGUCGCGCACGUCCGAUGAGAGUACUCGUCGAAUAAGCAUCGGCUAACUCCGUGCCAGCAGCUGC
RNAcentral lists this ribosomal RNA (507 nucleotides) under uncultured bacterium. Its description in RNAcentral is "bacterial SSU rRNA". It matches the Rfam family "Bacterial small subunit ribosomal RNA", at positions 19 to 518 of the family's 1533-position model. The record is from RNAcentral.